This is a long non-coding RNA of Spinacia oleracea (spinach), 2379 nucleotides long. RefSeq lists it as uncharacterized. Lineage: Eukaryota; Viridiplantae; Streptophyta; Magnoliopsida; Caryophyllales; Amaranthaceae. The record is from RefSeq and is a predicted model, not a curated record. The transcript has 5 exons.
UUCAUUUAUUUUUAUCACAUAGUUCCGGAUCGAACACUCCAAGAACUUUUCGCGUCCUCUCCUUCUCUCUCAUUCUCCUUCCUAAAUCUCCAUUUCUGGAACUCCCAACUCCCCCAUCUCACCUUCAAAAAUUCAGAAUCAACCUUAUCCCUUCGAAGUCUUCUCUCACCAAGCCGCCCCUUUCUAUUUAAUCUGAAAAUUCGAGCUCUGCGAAAAUGGGAAGUGAAAAACCCUAGGUUUUGGCGCGGGGAUAAAGGUGACAUCCUGAAGCAGAAAGGCUGGUUUGGAUAUUCCGGCGGGUCACGUUGCUUAGAUUUUGAAAGUUGUGAAACACACCGUACUACUGGAUCACGAAUUGUUGGUGUUGGAGCCCUAGUUUAACUAGCCGUCGUCCUUGGCUACCUUGAUGCUCAAUUGCGAUUGCUGGUGUUGGCUCUCCUCCUCCAGUUGCUCUUUAUGUGGGAGUUUCUGAAGGUCAAUAACUUGGUCGCCUCCCUUGGGAGGGUUGUGAAUCUCUACUGUCAUGGAGACUUUACCAGGUGACGAAUCUUCUGUAUUGGGCACCGCGACUUCUUCAUAAACAUUCUGAAGGUUGAUCAUCGCAGCAGCAGCAGCAACAUGUUCAACUUGUUCUGGCAAUCCAUUAUGUUCAUUUGGCCUUAGAUAUGUGACAAAAGGACAACGAGUGGUGGUGGUGUUCCCACUGCUUUAGAGGUAACAGUGUGUGAGCCGCCAGAUCCUCAUCAUCAUCAUCAUCAUCAUCAGGCCGGGGUCAACGAGUGGGCGAUGCUUGACCGUGUUAUAGGACACCAGCAGGAUGACCAUCUUGAUGACCUUAAUUAAUCUUUCAUUACUUUAAAUCCUUAAUUUUUUUGCUUCAUUCAAUGAUAUUUCAUUUUGGUGUUAAUUUUGGUGAAUUUUGAUUGAUAGGUCGAUUGUAUGCGAUGGAACUAGGGCAGCAGAUUCAUCUAAUAGGUACCUAAUUUUCUCAAUCUUCACAUUUAAUUAUUCUUCGCAAUUUUGCAAUUUGAGUUUUUUCAUAUAGUAAUUGCAAAAAUGAUUGAGAUUGUUGUUAUUCAAUUUGCUUGAUCAUUUUUUCUGGAGUUGAUGAUAAUUAGAUCAUGACUGUAGGAAUUAUUAGAUUACACACCAAUUGACAUGGAAGUUUUAGACAGAGAAAGGAAAGUUCGCGGUACUUGACAAUUCUGCUUCAUAUAACUAAAUGUAUUCUGUGAGGUAAAUCUGAGCUUUCAACCUAAUCAAAAGUCACUAAAUUUAUUCGAGUUAGGCGAACUUUUUACUAGAUGUCACUAUUGGCCUACAAUAUAUGAAUGUAAUUUGUGAUUGUUGAUUAUAUACAAGAAUAAUGCUAUAAACUAGUGGUCAGGAUAUUAGUAGCAAGUCAAGCAACUUGAUAUUGCCUUUUGUUUAGCCACUCAAUCUAACCCAAAACUGAUACUGUAUAUCCUAAAUCUAUCAUUCGAUUUAAGAUAUUCAGAUUCUGUAGUCUUUUGACAUAUAAAUGGACAUCAGAACUGUGCUGUCUUCUGCUCAAACACUGUUUGCAGCAUUGCAAAGUUCGGAGCUCAAAAAGACGUGCUCGAUCCUUGGCUACAAAUCUCAACUUGAUGACCUACAAGUGACAGUCUCCACCAUCAGUAUUGUGCUCCGCAGUGCAGAGGCCAAGCAGGCUAGCAUAAAAGAAGGUUCCAAAUUCAUCACCAACUACAACAUCAGCAAGUUCUGAUAUUUACGGUGCUGCAGUUCUAGAUGCUUGUGAGCAAAUAAAAGCAAGGAUGGAUCCGAUUGCUUCAAAACGAUAGUAACUUUGCCUUUUUUUUCUUUAAAAAAAAUAUUGGAGAUGAUGACCACUUUUAUUCGUUUCAGCUGGCAUAAGCAUGCUAUCUGGAGAGAAUAGACCUAUCUGCUCAUGGUUUUCAUGCUACUCCGGAAAUAGGCUUUGAUUGGAAAACUUGUAAGGGGAAACCUUUCAGUUAUUUCACUUAUGGUUCAGCAAGGUCAUUUUUUAUUACCUCAUUUUGCAGAUUUCUUUCUUCUAAUUAAGCUUUUCGAACUUCACCGAUAAAAUCUGUUUUCCGCUCAUUGCAGCUAGCUAUGUCAUAGCUUACCACUGCUCUUUAUCCUGGAGCAAUUUUCAGUUUCAAACUUUCAACUGCUCUUUAUCCUCAAGCAAUUUUCAGUAUUUUUAUGUUAAAUUAGUUAAAAUUUAUCUGGAAGUGUUAUACUUGAAUAUUAAUUGUAAGGCCUCAAAGUUGGUGUUGACAACUUUUGGUUCUCGUAUAUUUAUAUCAUUUGAUUUUAAUUUUUGUAAAUUGUUUUUGUUGUUGACUUAUUAUUGAAAUUGAAUAUUAAUUUGUA